AACAGGAUUAGAUACCCUGGUAGUCCACGCCCUAAACGAUGUCGACUAGUUGUUCGGAAAGGUGACUUUCUGAGUAACGUAGCUAACGCGUGAAGUCGACCGCCUGGGGAGUACGGUCGCAAGAUUAAAACUCAAAGGAAUUGACGGGGACCCGCACAAGCGGUGGAUGAUGUGGAUUAAUUCGAUGCAACGCGAAAAACCUUACCUACCCUUGACAUGCCAGGAAGGCCGCAGAGAUGUGGCUGUGCCUUCGGGAACCUGGACACAGGUGCUGCAUGGCUGUCGCCAGCUCGUGUCGUGAGAUGUUGGGUUAAGUCCCGCAACGAGCGCAACCCUUAUCUUCAGUUGCUACGCAAGGGCACUCUGAAGAGACUGCCGGUGACAAACCGGAGGAAGGUGGGGAUGACGUCAAGUCCUCAUGGCCCUUAUGGGUAGGGCUUCACACGUCAUACAAUGGUCGGUACAGAGGGUUGCCAAGCCGCGAGGUGGAGCCAAUCCCAGAAAGCCGAUCGUAGUCCGGAUUGUUGUCUGCAACUCGAGAGCAUGAAGUCGGAAUCGCUAGUAAUCGCGGAUCAGCAUGCCGCGGUGAAUACGUUCCCGGGUCUUGUACACACCGCCCGUCACACCAUGGGAGUGGGUUUCACCAGAAGCAGUUAGCCUAACCGCAAGGGGGGCGCUUACCACGGUGGGAUUCAUGACUGGGGUGAAGUCGUAACAAGGUAACC
This 725-nucleotide ribosomal RNA is filed under the name uncultured bacterium. Its description in RNAcentral is "bacterial SSU rRNA". It matches the Rfam family "Bacterial small subunit ribosomal RNA", at positions 771 to 1501 of the family's 1533-position model. The record is from RNAcentral.